GACGAACGCUGGCGGCGUGCCUAACACAUGCAAGUCGAACGGAGUUAAACGCUGAAAAUGAGAUUAGUUUACUAAAGGAUUUUCUUGUUUAACUUAGUGGCGGACGGGUGAGUAACGCGUGAGUAACCUGCCUUACAGAGGGGGACAACAGUUGGAAACGACUGCUAAUACCGCAUAAUGUCUAACCGAGGCAUCUCGGAUAGACCAAAGGAGCAAUCCGCUGUAAGAUGGACUCGCGUCCAAUUAGAUAGUUGGUGGGGUAACGGCCCACCAAGUCGACGAUUGGUAGCCGGACUGAGAGGUUGAACGGCCACAUUGGGACUGAGACACGGCCCAG
This 337-nucleotide ribosomal RNA is filed under the name uncultured bacterium. RNAcentral describes it as "bacterial SSU rRNA". It matches the Rfam family "Bacterial small subunit ribosomal RNA", at positions 28 to 334 of the family's 1533-position model. The record is from RNAcentral.